Molecule: transfer-messenger RNA, 166 nt
Filed under: Chthoniobacterales bacterium
Lineage: Bacteria; Pseudomonadati; Verrucomicrobiota; Spartobacteria; Chthoniobacterales
Description: partial transfer-messenger RNA
Rfam family: transfer-messenger RNA
About the family: Bacterial tmRNA, also known as 10Sa RNA or SsrA, is named for its dual tRNA and mRNA-like properties. Its role is to liberate the mRNA from a stalled ribosome.
Source: RNAcentral
GGGGGCGUACUGGUUUCGACUGAUUGUUUGAAGCGCAGGCGGCAUGUCGAGGAUGGUUCGUUGGCCUCGUUAAAAUCCGGACCAAAAAAAAUAAAUGCAGAUCACCAAGAUCUCGCUCUCGCGGCUUAAUUGACUGCGAUGUUUCUGGCUCGACGCCUGCUAGGGC